AUUGAACGCUGGCGGCAUGCUUUACACAUGCAAGUCGAACGGCAGCGCGGGCUUCGGCCUGGCGGCGAGUGGCGAACGGGUGAGUAAUGCAUCGGAACGUGCCCAGUAGUGGGGGAUAGCCCGGCGAAAGCCGGAUUAAUACCGCAUACGACCUGAGGGUGAAAGCGGGGGACCGUAAGGCCUCGCGCUAUUGGAGCGGCCGAUGUCGGAUUAGCUAGUUGGUGGGGUAAAGGCUUACCAAGGCGACGAUCCGUAGCUGGUCUGAGAGGACGACCAGCCACACUGGGACUGAGACACGGCCCAGACUCCUACGGGAGGCAGCAGUGGGGAAUUUUGGACAAUGGGGGCAACCCUGAUCCAGCCAUGCCGCGUGCGGGAAGAAGGCCUUCGGGUUGUAAACCGCUUUUGUUCGGGAAGAAAUCCUCUGGGCUAAUACCCCGGGGGGAUGACGGUACCGGAAGAAUAAGCACCGGCUAACUACGU
RNAcentral lists this ribosomal RNA (483 nucleotides) under uncultured bacterium. RNAcentral describes it as "partial 16S ribosomal RNA". It matches the Rfam family "Bacterial small subunit ribosomal RNA", at positions 28 to 506 of the family's 1533-position model. The record is from RNAcentral.